AGUAUGUUGGUCCAACAGCCGAGUGCACGAAUGGGAGUACACAACGGAUUAUAUGUUCCAUAAGUUAGUUUUAACUAACUCAAGUGAGUUAUGAUCAGCUGUUUCUCACGCGUCUUCUAUAUGGAUCUAUAGCUGAGUUAGUUAUCUUUUAGCUUGCAGAUAUUAGAGUUUGUUAUCUCAUUCAUUCAUUGUAAUUCAUCUCUUUGUGCAGUUGAGAGGGAAAAGAUACAACAAAAGAAAAGAUAGAGUUGAGAGAUCGUAGUAGCUGGUGUGUUUCAGCUUGAUAGCUCUGAUUACUUUCUUUUUCAAGAGUUGUAUUGUACUCAAUCUCCAUCAUUGUUUAGUAAAGAGUUUCGAUUGUUCUUUUCGUGGAUGUAGGUCUAUAAGGCUGAAACACGUAAAUCAUAUGUCAACCUUUACAAUUCUGCAUUCUUAGUUCUUGAUAAUUGUUUCUGUAAAUGUUUUGUUGCUGGAUUUGUUGAGUACGAUGUUCUUCCAAUUGUGGAGAUCACAUUGCUUACCAAGUCAUAACAAUUGGCGCCGUCUGUGAGAACCGCGAAGCAAAGGAUCAGUUUACAACACAAGAAGUCAGAUUUUGAGGAUUUUGAUGAGUGCAUCUGCAGAUUUGGAUCUAGCUUUAUCUUCAUCCUCUAAUCGCACUUCUAUGUCUUCUAGAUCAUUUACUGCCUUGUUGAAUUCAUCCAACUGAUCUAGAAUGUCUGUUUCAUCUGAGAUUUUGUAGGAAUACAACCUCCUCUUCAUGUAGAUUCUGUUGGCUAGGGAUUUAGUCAUGUAUAGUGACUCCAGCUUCUGCCAUAUCCCAGUUGAACUCUCUUCCCUAGCCACUUCGCGCAGCACCUAGCUUGUAUCCAAGACAAAGGAUUAUAGCACUGUGCGUAUUUUGCAUCAUCUCAAGAUGCUUCUCACUUUCCCUUUCUUAUUUUGUUGUCUUCUUGGCAAUAAGAGCACCCAACAAUCCUUGUUGUGUAAGGAUUGCUCUCAUAUUCAAUCUCCAGACGGGAAAGUCAUUUUCCUUGUGAAUUUUUCAGUAUCAAACUUUGCAGCAGCCAUGAUUGAAGAACUUGCAUAAUUCCAUGUCCAAGAGUACUCUUCAAGUAUCUAAGUACCCUCUCUGCUGCUUACAUAUGGCCAACACAUGACUUGGCUAAGAAUUGUUUGAGGUUAUGAACCGCAAAAGUGAUGUCAGGUCUUGAAACGCACAAGUAAAGAAGCCUUUCAAUCAAUCUUCUAUACUUAGAAGCAUCAGCAAGAAAAUCUCCUUCCUUUUGCUGGAGAGUUUUACCAGAUUCCAUAAGUGUAGAUGCAGGUUUACGACCAGUAAGACCAGCUAGGGCAUCAUGAAUAAGAUCCAUUGCAUGUUUGCGUUGACAAAUUAAUAUGCCAGUAGGAUUUCUUGCAAUCUCAACUCCAAGGACAUACUUGGGAAUACCCAAAUCUUUGUAUUUGAAAUGUUGGCCUAAGAAAUCCCUAAAUUGAUCCACCAAUGUUGUAUCAUUAUUGGCUAGCAUAAUGUCAUAAACACAUACCACUAAACCAAUAAAACUCUCACCAGAUUUCAUAAAGAAGAAGGAAUGAUCAUAUGCAGAUUGCUGCAGUUCAAAUUUAGCAAGAACUUAAGAGAAUUUUAGAUACCAUUGUCUAGAAGCCUGUUUAAGCCCAUAUAAAGACUUAGUUAGUUUGCACACAGUUCUGGGUGGAUAUUUCUCUCUCUGAUUGAGUAAGCCAUCUGGUAACUCCAUGUAUAUAUCUUCAGUAAGGUCACCAUACAGAAAAACAUUAUUGAUAUCCAAGUGACAAAGAGACCAACCUUUGAUAGAAGAGAGAGCAACCAUCAACUUGACUGUAACCAAUUUAGCAAUAGGUGAAAACGUAUCAAUGAAGUCAACACUUGCUUGCUGAGUCUAUCCCUUAGCUACCAAACGAGCCUCAUAUCGUUCCACAACACCAUCGGCUAAUAAUUUAAUUCUAAACAACCAUUUACAACGAAUAACAACUUUACUAGGAGGAAGCUUGGUAAUAGUCCAUGUGUGGUUUCUAAUGAGAGCAUCCGAGUCAGCCUGAAUUGCUUUGACCCAAACAGGAUAAAGAACAACUUGUGCAUAUGUGGAAGGCUCAGGAAUAGCAGUAACACAACAAAUAAAGGCAAGAAAAACAAGAGAUAAUUUGGCAUAGAUAUUGGUUUAAAGGAUGAAGAGACGAGGUAGAAACAACGAAGUUACAUACAAAAUCAGUAAGAUGUGAAAGGGUUUUGAUUACCCUCCCUGAUUUUGUAGUAAUAAGAGGUGGUGAUGGUGGAGACGGUGGAGAUGAUGGUGGUGAUAAAGGUUCAAUUUGUGAGAAUGUAGAGGAUAUAGGUGGU
Salvia miltiorrhiza (redroot sage) is the source of this 2380-nucleotide long non-coding RNA. RefSeq lists it as uncharacterized. The record is from RefSeq and is a predicted model, not a curated record. The transcript has 3 exons. Lineage: Eukaryota; Viridiplantae; Streptophyta; Magnoliopsida; Lamiales; Lamiaceae.